RNAcentral lists this ribosomal RNA (433 nucleotides) under uncultured bacterium. RNAcentral describes it as "partial 16S ribosomal RNA". It matches the Rfam family "Bacterial small subunit ribosomal RNA", at positions 29 to 507 of the family's 1533-position model. The record is from RNAcentral.
AACGAACGCUGGCGGCAUGCCUAACACAUGCAAGUCGAACGAGACCUUCGGGUCUAGUGGCGCACGGGUGCGUAACGCGCGGGAACCUGCCCUUAGGUUCGGAAUAACUCCCCGAAAGGGGUGCUAAUACCGGAUAAUGUCUUCGGACCAAAGAUUUAUCGCCUUUGGAUGGGCCCGCGUUGGAUUAGCUAGUUGGUAGGGUAAAAGCCUACCAAGGUGACGAUCCAUAGCUGGUCUGAGAGGAUGAUCAGCCACACUGGGACUGAGACACGGCCCAGACUCCUACGGGAGGCAGCAGUGGGGAAUAUUGGACAAUGGGCGAAAGCCUGAUCCAGCAAUGCCGCGUGAGUGAUGAAGGCCUUAGGGUUGUAAAGCUCUUUUACCCGGGAUGAUAAUGACAGUACCGGGAGAAUAAGCUCCGGCUAACUCCGUG